AACGAACGCUGGCGGCAUGCCUAACACAUGCAAGUCGAACGAGACCUUCGGGUCUAGUGGCGCACGGGUGCGUAACGCGUGGGAACCUGCCCUUAGGUUCGGAAUAACUCCCCGACAGGGGUGCUAAUACCGGAUAAUGUCUUCGGACCAAAGAUUUUUCGCCUUUGGAUGGACCCGCGUUGGAUUAGCUAGUUGGUAGGGUAAAAGCCUACCAAGGCGACGAUCCAUAGCUGGUUUCAGAGGAUGAUCAGCCACACUGGGACUGAGACACGGCCCAGACUCCUACGGGAGGCAGCAGUGGGGAAUAUUGGACAGUGGGCGAAAUCCUGAUCCAGCAAUGCCGCGUGAGUGAUGAAGGCCUUAGGGUUGUAAAGCUCUUUUACCCGGGAUGAUAAUGACAGUACCGGGAGAAUAAGCUACGGCUAACUCCGUG
This 433-nucleotide ribosomal RNA is filed under the name uncultured bacterium. RNAcentral describes it as "partial 16S ribosomal RNA". It matches the Rfam family "Bacterial small subunit ribosomal RNA", at positions 29 to 507 of the family's 1533-position model. The record is from RNAcentral.